This 440-nucleotide ribosomal RNA is filed under the name uncultured bacterium. Its description in RNAcentral is "partial 16S ribosomal RNA". It matches the Rfam family "Bacterial small subunit ribosomal RNA", at positions 338 to 795 of the family's 1533-position model. The record is from RNAcentral.
CCUACGGGAGGCAGCAGUGGGGGAUAUUGCACAAUGGGGGGAACCCUGAUGCAGCGACGCCGCGUGGGCGAAGAAGCGCCUCGGCGCGUAAAGCCCUGUCAGCAGGGAAGAAAAUGACGGUACCUGACGAAGAAGCCCCGGCUAACUACGUGCCAGCAGCCGCGGUAAUACGUAGGGGGCAAGCGUUAUCCGGAUUUACUGGGUGUAAAGGGGGCGCAGACGGCGAUGCAAGCCAGGAGUGAAAGCCCGGGGCCCAACCCCGGGACUGCUCUUGGAACUGCGUGGCUGGAGUGCAGGAGGGGCAGGCGGAAUUCCUGGUGUAGCGGUGAAAUGCGUAGAUAUCAGGAGGAACACCGGUGGCGAAGGCGGCCUGCUGGACUGCAACUGACGUUGAGGCCCGAAAGCGUGGGGAGCAAACAGGAUUAGAUACCCCAGUAGUC